Molecule: unclassified non-coding RNA, 330 nt
Organism: Macaca mulatta (Rhesus monkey)
Lineage: Eukaryota; Metazoa; Chordata; Mammalia; Primates; Cercopithecidae
Rfam family: Metazoan signal recognition particle RNA
About the family: The signal recognition particle (SRP) is a universally conserved ribonucleoprotein. It is involved in the co-translational targeting of proteins to membranes.
Source: Ensembl
UCUGGGCGCAGUGGCUCACACCUGUGAUCCCAGCAGUUUGGGAGGCCAAGGUGGGCAGAUCACCUGAGGUCGAGAGUUUGAGACCAGUCUGACCAACGUGGAGAAACCCCGUCUCUACUAAAAAUACAAAGUUAGCCGGGCAUGGUGGCACAUGCCUGUAAUCCCAGCUACUUGGUUCAAGCGAUUCCCCUGUGUCAGCCACCCAAGUAGCUGGGAUUACAGGCAUGCACCACCAUGCCCGGCUAAUUUUGUAUUUUUAGUAGAGACGGGGUUUCUCCAUGUUGGUCAGGCUGGUCUCAAACUCCCGACCUCAGGUGAUCUGCCCACCUU